This 2924-nucleotide ribosomal RNA is filed under the name Escherichia coli. RNAcentral describes it as "bacterial LSU rRNA". It matches the Rfam family "Bacterial large subunit ribosomal RNA". The record is from RNAcentral. Lineage: Bacteria; Pseudomonadati; Pseudomonadota; Gammaproteobacteria; Enterobacterales; Enterobacteriaceae.
GGGUUGUGAGGUUAAGCGACUAAGCGUACACGGUGGAUGCCCUGGCAGUCAGAGGCGAUGAAGGACGUGCUAAUCUGCGAUAAGCGUCGGUAAGGUGAUAUGAACCGUUAUAACCGGCGAUUUCCGAAUGGGGAAACCCAGUGUGAUUCGUCACACUAUCAUUAACUGAAUCCAUAGGUUAAUGAGGCGAACCGGGGGAACUGAAACAUCUAAGUACCCCGAGGAAAAGAAAUCAACCGAGAUUCCCCCAGUAGCGGCGAGCGAACGGGGAGCAGCCCAGAGCCUGAAUCAGUGUGUGUGUUAGUGGAAGCGUCUGGAAAGGCGCGCGAUACAGGGUGACAGCCCCGUACACAAAAAUGCACAUGCUGUGAGCUCGAUGAGUAGGGCGGGACACGUGGUAUCCUGUCUGAAUAUGGGGGGACCAUCCUCCAAGGCUAAAUACUCCUGACUGACCGAUAGUGAACCAGUACCGUGAGGGAAAGGCGAAAAGAACCCCGGCGAGGGGAGUGAAAAAGAACCUGAAACCGUGUACGUACAAGCAGUGGGAGCACGCUUAGGCGUGUGACUGCGUACCUUUUGUAUAAUGGGUCAGCGACUUAUAUUCUGUAGCAAGGUUAACCGAAUAGGGGAGCCGAAGGGAAACCGAGUCUUAACUGGGCGUUAAGUUGCAGGGUAUAGACCCGAAACCCGGUGAUCUAGCCAUGGGCAGGUUGAAGGUUGGGUAACACUAACUGGAGGACCGAACCGACUAAUGUUGAAAAAUUAGCGGAUGACUUGUGGCUGGGGGUGAAAGGCCAAUCAAACCGGGAGAUAGCUGGUUCUCCCCGAAAGCUAUUUAGGUAGCGCCUCGUGAAUUCAUCUCCGGGGGUAGAGCACUGUUUCGGCAAGGGGGUCAUCCCGACUUACCAACCCGAUGCAAACUGCGAAUACCGGAGAAUGUUAUCACGGGAGACACACGGCGGGUGCUAACGUCCGUCGUGAAGAGGGAAACAACCCAGACCGCCAGCUAAGGUCCCAAAGUCAUGGUUAAGUGGGAAACGAUGUGGGAAGGCCCAGACAGCCAGGAUGUUGGCUUAGAAGCAGCCAUCAUUUAAAGAAAGCGUAAUAGCUCACUGGUCGAGUCGGCCUGCGCGGAAGAUGUAACGGGGCUAAACCAUGCACCGAAGCUGCGGCAGCGACACUAUGUGUUGUUGGGUAGGGGAGCGUUCUGUAAGCCUGUGAAGGUGUACUGUGAGGUAUGCUGGAGGUAUCAGAAGUGCGAAUGCUGACAUAAGUAACGAUAAAGCGGGUGAAAAGCCCGCUCGCCGGAAGACCAAGGGUUCCUGUCCAACGUUAAUCGGGGCAGGGUGAGUCGACCCCUAAGGCGAGGCCGAAAGGCGUAGUCGAUGGGAAACAGGUUAAUAUUCCUGUACUUGGUGUUACUGCGAAGGGGGGACGGAGAAGGCUAUGUUGGCCGGGCGACGGUUGUCCCGGUUUAAGCGUGUAGGCUGGUUUUCCAGGCAAAUCCGGAAAAUCAAGGCUGAGGCGUGAUGACGAGGCACUACGGUGCUGAAGCAACAAAUGCCCUGCUUCCAGGAAAAGCCUCUAAGCAUCAGGUAACAUCAAAUCGUACCCCAAACCGACACAGGUGGUCAGGUAGAGAAUACCAAGGCGCUUGAGAGAACUCGGGUGAAGGAACUAGGCAAAAUGGUGCCGUAACUUCGGGAGAAGGCACGCUGAUAUGUAGGUGAAGUCCCUCGCGGAUGGAGCUGAAAUCAGUCGAAGAUACCAGCUGGCUGCAACUGUUUAUUAAAAACACAGCACUGUGCAAACACGAAAGUGGACGUAUACGGUGUGACGCCUGCCCGGUGCCGGAAGGUUAAUUGAUGGGGUCAGCGCAAGCGAAGCUCUUGAUCGAAGCCCCGGUAAACGGCGGCCGUAACUAUAACGGUCCUAAGGUAGCGAAAUUCCUUGUCGGGUAAGUUCCGACCUGCACGAAUGGCGUAAUGAUGGCCAGGCUGUCUCCACCCGAGACUCAGUGAAAUUGAACUCGCUGUGAAGAUGCAGUGUACCCGCGGCAAGACGGAAAGACCCCGUGAACCUUUACUAUAGCUUGACACUGAACAUUGAGCCUUGAUGUGUAGGAUAGGUGGGAGGCUUGGAAGUGUGGACGCCAGUCUGCAUGGAGCCGACCUUGAAAUACCACCCUUUAAUGUUUGAUGUUCUAACGUUGACCCGUAAUCCGGGUUGCGGACAGUGUCUGGUGGGUAGUUUGACUGGGGCGGUCUCCUCCUAAAGAGUAACGGAGGAGCACGAAGGUUGGCUAAUCCUGGUCGGACAUCAGGAGGUUAGUGCAAUGGCAUAAGCCAGCUUGACUGCGAGCGUGACGGCGCGAGCAGGUGCGAAAGCAGGUCAUAGUGAUCCGGUGGUUCUGAAUGGAAGGGCCAUCGCUCAACGGAUAAAAGGUACUCCGGGGAUAACAGGCUGAUACCGCCCAAGAGUUCAUAUCGACGGCGGUGUUUGGCACCUCGAUGUCGGCUCAUCACAUCCUGGGGCUGAAGUAGGUCCCAAGGGUAUGGCUGUUCGCCAUUUAAAGUGGUACGCGAGCUGGGUUUAGAACGUCGUGAGACAGUUCGGUCCCUAUCUGCCGUGGGCGCUGGAGAACUGAGGGGGGCUGCUCCUAGUACGAGAGGACCGGAGUGGACGCAUCACUGGUGUUCGGGUUGUCAUGCCAAUGGCACUGCCCGGUAGCUAAAUGCGGAAGAGAUAAGUGCUGAAAGCAUCUAAGCACGAAACUUGCCCCGAGAUGAGUUCUCCCUGACCCUUUAAGGGUCCUGAAGGAACGUUGAAGACGACGACGUUGAUAGGCCGGGUGUGUAAGCGCAGCGAUGCGUUGAGCUAACCGGUACUAAUGAACCGUGAGGCUUAACCUUACAACGCCGAAG